Molecule: long non-coding RNA, 2331 nt
Organism: Micropterus salmoides (largemouth bass)
Lineage: Eukaryota; Metazoa; Chordata; Actinopteri; Centrarchiformes; Centrarchidae
Exons: 5
Source: RefSeq, a predicted model, not a curated record
GCAAAAAGUAGAGGUACUAAUGAAGAGAUUGAUCUGCAGUUAAAUGUGAGUACAGAACAUCUCAAUUAUCAUGUGCAUUCACUGUAAAUGUAUAUAUGAAAGAGCCCGUUACAGAGAAACACAUUCAAUUAACUAUAAAUGUUUUUUUUAAAUCAGACAAUAAAAAACGUAUAAUAAAAUACUAGUUAUAACUUUGGAGAGCUGCAGAAGGGUUAAUAACUAAGGUGCAUGCAUAUUAAAUACAUACUGGUGACCUCCUUAAUGCUAAAUCAAAUUAUUGAUAUUGUUUAUUUAAUUAGACUUUUUUUUCCCACCCCGUGGCUGUUUUAAAACAUGUUAAUGAAUUUAAGAAACUGUGACUGAACUAGCUCACGCAGGGAAAAGAUAUUUCUGGCCAACAACAGUCAACACAGCCGCUAGCAUGUUACGCUGUUUGGGUGCAUUUAAACUGCAGGACCGAGUUGUUGAAGGUUGGAUGUUGAGCCUCUUAAUUAUUAACAACUAAAUUAUUAUAAGUGUUAGCUAAAUGCACCUUCCGUUGUAUUAUUUAAUAAACGGUAAUUUAACGGUAACAGCGUGUCGAUGUUAGUUAUUCCCCAGCAACCAACUUGUGUGUUAGCAAUGGUUAGCUAAGUGACUUUGGUUAGCAUAAUACAUAAUACUUUUAAUAAGCAUAUAAACUGUGUACAUACUUCGGAUUUUGGGAUGAUAAUUUUGAGUUUAAUUACUCCGAUGUAAACUCUGGGAAAGCCAUCGUUAUCCAGCAAGUAAAAGCACCAACGGAAGUCCCCCUGGUUUAUGGUCCAACCGGAAACAGAGUUGUGGUGUCUUUGGUUCCGCACACAAUCCGAUCAUGAGUGCAGCAGAAUCAGAAUCAGUUUUAUUGCCAGGGCUGUUUUAAAUAAACCAAAGACGGAGCAGGCUGUGACAUCAAGAAAGAAGACGACAAGGAUUCAUCACGCCCAGCCAGCUUGUGAAAGUGACAAGGCCGCAUGUCCAUUGUGGGAUAUUUCCAACUGGCUAAAUGAAACACAAAAAUAAUUUCCACAAAUAAAGAAAGAGGAGGAUGUGGACUCUUUUACCCGGACCGGCUUUGUUACUGAAGGAAGAUCAUGAGGAUCAUUACAACAUCUUGAAGCUUGCUGCUGGCUGCCGGACUCCCGCUGCUCCUCCGCUGUAUUCUUUUUCUGGAUUUCACUGUAGAACACAACAAGAGUAAAUGGCAGGUGGUAGUUGCAGGGCACGUCGUUCCACUGGCCAUUCUCAUGCCAGAUCAUCACUACACAGUCUUCUCUAGAGCUUUUAUUAUCUGGCUGGGCCGGCCUCCAGUUCUCAUAUUGCUGAAGCGGAAGAAGAAGCAUACUUCAAGAGGGACCACAACUUUUCAUUUGAAUCCCCCUUACAAUUCAUCAUUCAGCGCUGUCAGUAAUCAGGAUGUGAACUUUUUUUAGCAUCUCAUUUUCAGUCUCAACUGCUGUGUACCACUUUCCCUACUUGAACUAUUCUCACAUCUUGCCCCUCACCGUGAUGGCAGGCUUUUCGUCCGUCUUUGACUACAGAUCUUCAGAACAGUAUAUAAACACUUUUGCCUUUAAGUGUGGCCAGAUGACACUUUGUAAGAAGUAGAUUGUUUCAGGCAUACUCCAUUCUUAAGGCAUAGAUAUUAGCGCUCUGUGAAGAAAUGCAGACAUAACUAUUUAUUUCAUUACAGGGCUCCAGCUAAAAAUACAUGGUUUUCCAGCAACAAAGGUUACCUGGCUUAACUUUUCAAGAGUUGAAAAAUCCUGUCUCAUAGUAACAUAAACUGCAGAGUUUUGGCUUCUGAUAAGCCUUCAAACUCAUCAUUCUAUUACUCAGACUGGGCGUAUAUCAUCUCACUGUUACCUGAAGCUGCCAAUUUUCACCAACACAGUCAUGUUUUCUAAACGCAGUGUUUAUUUCCAUCCAAACACCUGGUAAUGAAGUUAAUUUUUUGUGCUUGCACCUGUUGGGUAAUUUUGUCCCUUUAAAUAAACCCACUUGUGUUUGGAGUGGUGCAGCUGAGGUUGUGCUUAUGCAGAUCAGAUGGUGCAUUGCUAUUUUGGUGCUUGUUUAGGCAUGACUUUGCAUUUUCACAGACCUCUGCAUGCGCAGACUUCUCCAAAAUGAUAAAAGAUCCUUUUCAUGCAUGUUGAACUAACAUUUUUUUAUACAAAGCUAAAUGCAAAUAUACAGUAUAUAAUAUAGAACUGUUAAUGCAAUUAAAGCAUAUUCUGCAUUGGUUUAGAUUCAUGGGUGACUGAUAAUGUAGCUCCAAUGAGGCGUCAAGUAUAAACAAAGAAUAAUAACUGA